This 281-nucleotide long non-coding RNA is filed under the name Phoenix dactylifera (date palm). RNAcentral describes it as "long non-coding RNA (PDAC_LNC016895)". The record is from RNAcentral. Lineage: Eukaryota; Viridiplantae; Streptophyta; Magnoliopsida; Arecales; Arecaceae.
UUGAAGUAGGCUGGAAAAUGUGGCAAACGUUGUCAAAGGAUCUUGUUUGUCAAAAAACUCACUUUAUGCUUUAGCUACGCUGUUUGCUGCUCACGGGGUACACGUGAGGAUGGUCUGUUUGGUUAUUUUGUCAAAAACAAGUGUCCAUUCUGAGAGUAAUAGUUUCUCGUUUGAGUUAAUCUGAAGGGUUUCAAAUCUUUUACGCCGGCGUAGGGCUUCUUAUUUUUUGGAAUUUUUUUAAUUUAAAUAAGUACCUUUCUAAAUAUUAAAUUUUACAUGGA